This 483-nucleotide ribosomal RNA is filed under the name uncultured bacterium. RNAcentral's name for it is "partial 16S ribosomal RNA". It matches the Rfam family "Bacterial small subunit ribosomal RNA", at positions 28 to 523 of the family's 1533-position model. The record is from RNAcentral.
GACGAACGCUGGCGGCGUGCCUAACACAUGCAAGUCGAACGAGGUCCAGGGGAGCUUGCUCCCUGAAGACCUAGUGGCGAACGGGUGAGUAACACGUGAGAAACCUGCCCUCGAGUGGGGAAUAACCCGGGGAAACCCGGGCUAAUACCGCAUACGCUCCGCUGGUCGCAUGGCCGGUGGAGGAAAGUUUUUCGCUCAAGGAGGGUCUCGCGGCCUAUCAGCUUGUUGGGGGGGUAACGGCCCACCAAGGCUACGACGGGUAGCUGGUUUGAGAGAACGAUCAGCCACACUGGGACUGAGACACGGCCCAGACUCCUACGGGAGGCAGCAGUGGGGAAUCUUGCGCAAUGGGCGAAAGCCUGACGCAGCAACGCCGCGUGCGGGAUGACGGCCUUCGUGGUUGUAAACCGCUUUCAGCAGGGACGAAAAUGACGGUACCUGCAGAAGAAGCUCCGGCUAACUACGUGCCAGCAGCCGCCGUAA